Molecule: ribosomal RNA, 253 nt
Filed under: uncultured bacterium
Lineage: Bacteria
Description: partial 16S ribosomal RNA
Rfam family: Bacterial small subunit ribosomal RNA
Source: RNAcentral
UACGUAGGGCGCAAGCGUUGUCCGGAAUUAUUGGGCGUAAAGCGCGCGCAGGCGGCCUUUUAAGUCUGAUGUGAAAGCCCACGGCUCAACCGUGGAAGGUCAUUGGAAACUGAAAGGCUUGAGUACAGAAGAGGAAAGCGGAAUUCCACGUGUAGCGGUGAAAUGCGUAGAGAUGUGGAGGAACACCAGUGGCGAAGGCGGCUUUCUGGUCUGUAACUGACGCUGAGGCGCGAAAGCGUGGGGAGCAAACAGG